RNAcentral lists this long non-coding RNA (5964 nucleotides) under Apis mellifera (honey bee). Its description in RNAcentral is "uncharacterized LOC113218894". Lineage: Eukaryota; Metazoa; Arthropoda; Insecta; Hymenoptera; Apidae. The record is from RNAcentral.
UUUUACGUUUACUUUUAAUAAAACAAAUAUUACUAAAAAUAAAAGUGACGUUAUUCAAAAUGGCCAACAAUAGUAAUGAACAAGUGUUUGAUUUGUUGAUAUACAAAUAAAACGUACACACGUUUCGAAUCAAUUGUUAUUAUUCAAGUCAUCGUAUCGCAAUUAUUUCCAACGAAUAAUUUCUUUCAAAAGAUAAAAAUAAGAGAAAACCCAAUGAUGUUAUCAUUAUGCUCGCGAAAGAUCAGCAAAAUAAUUAUCGCCGUUUCAUGGAGCAGGAUCUCCGAAUACCGUCGGCCAACCCCGCUCCCCUCCCAUUCGAAUUUUAAUUCACAGGAUGAAGGGGCUUUUUGUUCCUCGAAACUCGUCGACAGAUCCGUCGUACGCUGUAUUUCAACACCCUUUUUAAUAUUUCUCGGCUGCGUUUUCGCGCGCGCGCAGCCUAUUCGACAUUCCAUUUUUGCAAUCAACGGUGCCGCGCGGAGGCCCGUGUGGAGGUCGUCUGUGCGUGCGACCUAUCGCGUGCCAGAUGUAACGUCGAUCGUGACGUAUUGUUCUCGCACAAGGCGAAUUAGUUCUACGUAUACCCGGCGAGAAUUCACGGUUUGUUAAUUAAAACAAUACGCUCGGAUAUUGGGAGAAGGCGUGCGCGCGGGAAUUCAAAUUUCGCGCGCACAUGUCGCGCCUCGGCCUUUUCUUCCCCAUCACGGCAUUGUUGUCCCGCCUCGAGGGUGAUCGAUCCUUGCUUCGUGUGUCUCUAAUUUAUAUCAUUUUUCUCUUGGAUGUGGUGAUUUGGAUGGAGAGCUUUUUUUUUUGUUCUCGUAAUUAUUUUAAAGUAGCGUCAAGGUUCACGUUGAAUGGGUUAUAUGAAAGUAAAAAUGUAUGAAAGAGAGAAGAGGAAAGAGAGGAAAAGAUUUUGAUCGAAAAAACUUGGGUUCUAAAAGCGUUUGGUCUUUUGAAUGAAGGAAUGAUUUUUUGCUCGUGCGAUCUAUUUCCUUUUUAAACAAUUAUGUCGUCAUUGGAAUGAAAUAAGAAAUAUAUAUAGGUAUGUACAUUGACUGAUGGAGAAAUUAAGAAAGGAAUUAAUUUAAUUCAUAAAUUUCUUUGUAUUUUUUUCUUUUAUUUUUACCUGAUAUUUAUUAUACGAGCAUUUCUCGAAAAAAAUACUCAUUGAAUUGUAUAAAUUUCAUAUGUUAUCGUCCUAUCUAUUAUUUUUAGUUCCAACCUAUUAUUCUUAGAAGAUAAGAAACAUAAAUAAAUAAAUAUAAUUAGUUCCUUAAUUAUUUGUUAGUAAUUCUUUAUCAAAAAUCGAUGUCAAUUUCUUCUUCUUCUUUUUUUUUUUUUACUGAUUUAUAGUUUUUCAUAAAACAUACUGUACAUUAAACGCAGUUCAAUCGCAAAAAAUGAUGAUACAUAUCGAAUAUGCAACAUGUUGCAUACAUUAUACAAUUAUACUUUUUCGAUCAAACCAUUACUUUUAUAAUUUUAUUAUUACGUUUCAAUACACCUCUAAUUAUCUACUGUACACGACAACGAUGACGAACCUUCCACCAUGAAUGGAAAAUAUUAAUAUCGACGAGUUUCACACCGUACGAAUCGAAAAUUAAACUUUCCUUAACCACGGAACGAUUAGAUUUCAAUUAUUCGAAUCAGAAGCGAGCGUAUUCCCUCUAUUUAUACGCUCUCCAAUGGCCGUGGCGAGCCGGCACGUUUCCUAGCUGGACCUCAGAAGGCUGUUCAGUAUGCAAGCUCGGUGUGGGCGCAUCCGGUGGACGCCGUAAGCUCAGAAACUCACGUUGCAUUAUAUAUCCGGCUGUCGAUACGAGGCAGCACGCGUCAUCCCGUUGAUAAGAAUAGAAUAAUAGAAUUUUCUAUGAGCCCGUGACGACGUGGCCUGUGGCGGAGGGAGGGAGAGGGCGGCCUCUCCCUCCCGAGGGGGAGGGAGGAGAGGCGGUCGACGUGCGCAAAACGAAGAAAAUGCGCGCGGGGCCUUUUCCGGUCUGAUGAUCGACGACAAUCCUCUACGUGUCUUCUGCGUUUCGCGUAUAUCUUUCCUGUGGAUCUUUUUUCAACCUCGGUGCUCGUCUUUUUUCCUCUUCUUUUUUCUCUUCUUUUUCUUUCUCUCUCUUUCGCGUGUUCAAACUCGCCGCGCAGAAAUCCUCGCCGAUAAAAUGGCGUCACACGCAGGACGUGUCGCGACGCAAUCUCGUCUCCACCGCAAAACGCAAGGGAGAUAAUCGUAGCAGCCGAUCACCGGUGGUGUUUCCGACCUCUAUUCACUGUGUCAAUUUGUCGUGAGGGUGAUGUUUGAAUUUCUUCCUUGUAUCCCCGUAUCCACGUUUCUUUUUUUUCUUUUUUUUUAUCAUCUUCGAUGUGUAUUUGUGUGUAUCGAGUGUUGAAAAAUUGAUAAUGCGUUACAUCGUGUUUUUUUUUAUUUUCUCUCUCUUUCUACUUGGAGAAAGGGAGGUCUGAGAUAUCUUCGCAGGCGUGCAAUGUCAGAGGAUGCGUUUGAAGGAUAUAUAUAUCUGGUUCUACGAGUGAGUACAUAUUUGGAGAAUUGUCUUGUGACUCCUCUACACGAUAUGAUACACAAAGAGAAAGAGAGGGAGAAGAAAAAUUUCGAGAAAUCUGAACGAGCAGAGAAGAGAUUAAUAGGUUAAUCGGGCGUUCAAUGAAGGUGAAGGUUUCUCCCUUUUCGGGAAACGGGGAAUUUUCGAGCAACGAAAUCGAAUUCUACUCGAAGGCGGCGUCCACUUUACAAACCGCUCUUAAUUGGGACGUUCGAUGGUCAGAGGGUAUCCGGUUUAUUUCAAGCCGGAUUGGGAAGGCCGAUCCUCCGAUCGGCGGGGAAAGACACCGCCGUCUUAAUUACGCAAACACCGUAAUUUCGCUCGUUUAAUUGGAACGUUCGGGCUUGGAACGCGACGGAUUCCUUGGACGGUUUAAUUAGCGGCGCGGAUCUCGCGGCAACGCUUCGAAAGAAACCCCGUCCGUGGGGGAAAUCGAGGUGUUGAAAGUGUGAUCCUCCCGAGAAUAAUCUCUUUUGAUCGAUUAUGUAUGAAAAGGGAUGGAUGAAAAUGAUAUAUCGAAGGAAGAAUGAGAGAAAGAGAGAGAGACUCAUAAAAAGAAUUGUUUGAUUUAUAAAUUUAUUUGCGAGAUAAAAAAUGAUAAGAAGAAGAGAAAGAGAAAAAUAAUUGUUAUUGGUCACAGAAACGAGCAACGAUGUUAUACGAUGGAUAUAUCCAGAACACAAUGCCUCGAGUAUAAUCCUGAGAAAAAGAAAAAAAUCGGCGGCAAUUCAAACGGAAAUAAUACGUCUGAGAGUCGGUCACGCUCCCCGGUCUAAUCUCGCGAGGAUCUUCGGUAAUCCGAUUAUCAGCGAGAACGAGGGAGCAAAACAGAGAUCGGGCGAUUAGAUCUCGCGGGAGGUUUCUCGUGUCGUGGACAUUUCGAUUUUUCCAUCGUGGCACAGAGCUACACAGAGUACCGUAAGACGUUUCGAACGAGUCCUCCCCAGCUAGCCUCCUCCCGUUCCUAUAAGUUAAGUUAAGAUACAGAAUACUCUUUUCCUACUUUUAUUUCCUUCUUCGAAAAUAUCUUCGAGAAUAUGAACGAUCAAUUCGAAAUGUGCAAAAAGAGGUUUCUUUUUAUCAUUAUUACAUAUAGCACUUACAAUUAAACCAAACAAUCAUCAUACAGAUAUAAUACUCCUUUUCCAUUUUCCAUUUUUUCCAAAAAUAUCUUCAAAAAUAUGAUAGAUUAUAUUACAAUCAAUCUCUACAUUUUCCAAUUGCAAUCUACAUUCUCCUUCAAAAAGAAAAUUUCAAAAAGAAAUGUCGAACAAUGUAGAACAAUAUGACACAGGCUUCAUCGCAUAGAUUUUAAAUAUUCAUCCUGUGGCUCCAAAAGCGGGAAAAGGCGCGGUUGGGCGGCGAUGAUGGGGAGCGAUCACACCGCGCGGGAGGAACGGCAUUUCAUAUUUUACGAUCGAACCGUGCAAGGAAGGAGGCCAGGCUCACGAACCUGGACACCGCUCCUAGCUUUGAUGGGGGACAACAACAUCGUCUUCGGCCUCCUCGAGGAUCACGAUUCGGUGACGUGUGGCCGGCCCGGUAUCGGGAUAACGUCGUGUACGGCCGCAUAUAAACGUAAAGUUGGCGACGAGGGAGACCAAGACCGAGACCACGUUCACGAGGGCCGCACACCGUUUCCUAGUAGUUCUGGUAGUCCCGGGAUCGGCCGGAACUGGAAAACGGAUCGGAAAGCCUUGCUUCGUGGCCCGUGAAUCUCGAGAUAAAUAAACGCGGGCCGAGUUGCUCGUUGCCGGGCAACUGUUCCGCGAAAUCUUGCAUCGUUUUUGCAAGGGAAGAACGAGCGAAGUGUUUCUGGACCAAAGAAGAUUGGUUAAAAGGGUGUUUUAUUUCUUGUUGGAAUGGAAUUGAAGUUGAGGAGGUGCUUCCUUGUUUGAUGGAUCGAUCGAUCGAUCGAUCGAGGGAAGAAGUUGGGAGAUAAAUGUGGGAUGCAUAGGUAAUUUGAGGAUACUUUUUAUAAUUUCGAUGAUUCAACUCAAGGAGAAUUUUUGGAAAACAAAUUUUCUUUCCAGUUCAUUCGAAGAACGAGGUUCAUAGAAGAAAAUAUAUCUUCGUCGUUAAUCUAACGAGUUAUACGAAUUCAUUGACAGCAUAACGAAUCAUAACAUCGAAAUGAAGAAAGAAAAAAAAACAUAUAUAUAUAUGUAUACUGGCCAUUUAAACAGAAAUUGAUGCUUUCCACUUUAUUUUCGUAAAAAUCCAUAAACACUCCAAUAUAUUAAACGUCACUCACAAUUGACGUUUAUAAAUCUUGAUCUAAAAGCUGUGACUCUAAGUUAAUGUAUCAUUGACGGUUUUAUAAUCGCGUAUUGCUAUCAACCGUGUCAAAAUCUUUUCUCUGUAUAAUAUGGAAAUGUUGUAACGAUAUCGACGAGUCAUCGUGACAUCUCGCUUAAAUCGUUUCGAGUCGACAGUUUGCAUCGAAAGAUACUCGAUUGAUGUAUCGAUAUAUUCUAAAUAAUCCUAAUAGAGAAGAACUCUUUUCAAGAAACUACAAUUCUGUAUAACGAAUUUUAUAUAUCGUUCAAAAAUUCUUUUUUUUUUCAAUGAUAAUUUAUAUUUACCAACUUUUCCAAUUUUUCUCCCCUCAACUUAACUUAAAACGACACAAAAUGCAAAUAGCAUAGAUUACAAAUUGAUCGAUAUCGAACAAGUGGGAAAAGCACGCAUAACCAACGCCUGAAUGUACAUGAUUUAUUCAACGUUUAAAAAAAAAAAAAAAAAGGAAAAGAAUACAAAAAGCAAAAAUUUGAAACGCAAUGCAGAAGCAUGUCAUUAAGCAUUUUUUCAAAAAAACAAUUUUUUCUUCUUCUUCCCUUGGAGAUACGGUAAUUAUAGCAAUCUCAGGUAUAUCGAUCAAACGUCGAUAUAUUUUGAAUUAUCGAAUCCGUAUUUCGAUCCUUUCGAUUCGCGUUCAUGCGGAUCAAGAACACGUUCGCCCAACAACCCAUUCCAAUCUGACCGAUCUGGAUUCGUUCUGGCAACGAAUCACGAUAAGGGGGAAUAAAAUUCAUUCGGGAUUUAAGACAACCGCGGAGGAAAUUGUUUGCCUUUCUCGAAGCCACUUUAUCUCGGUUCUCUCGGUAUAUUCGCAGAAUACCAGCUCGAAACCUUCACUUUCUGCGAUCGUAGAUAGAGCAGGAGGUUUGAAAACGACACGUCACGACGAGACGAAUUAUUAUGUUCAGAGGCAGCGACGUUUCGAUCGAAACGAGUGUUGGCUAUUCUUGUUUUUUCUUUUUUUCUUUCUUUUUCGUUCGCAUCGAAUAUCUUUUGUACGUUAUUUUUCGUUGUUAUUACUUAAUCAAAAAAAUAUUUUGAUAAAUAUUUGUCUUUGAUCGAGAUUUACAUUUUUAUUUAAUAAUCUGGGAUUAAU